GAUGAACGCUGGCGGCGUGCCUAACACAUGCAAGUCGAACGGGGACUAUUUGGAGAUGAUUUCGGUCUGAUCCUUAUAGUUUAGUGGCGGACGGGUGAGUAACGCGUGGACAACCUGCCUUUCACAGGGGGAUAGCAGCUGGAAACGGCUGGUAAUACCGCAUACGCUCGUGUCACCGCAUGGUGAUAUGAGGAAAGAUUUAUCGGUGAAAGAUGGAUCCGCGUCUGAUUAGCCAGUUGGCGGGUAAUGGCCUACCAAGGCGACGACGGGUAGCCGGCCUGAGAGGGUGACCGGCCACACUGGGACUGAGACACGGCCCAG
RNAcentral lists this ribosomal RNA (321 nucleotides) under uncultured bacterium. Its description in RNAcentral is "bacterial SSU rRNA". It matches the Rfam family "Bacterial small subunit ribosomal RNA", at positions 28 to 334 of the family's 1533-position model. The record is from RNAcentral.